CCUACGGGAGGCAGCAGUGGGGAAUAUUGGACAAUGGGCGAAAGCCUGAUCCAGCAAUGCCGCGUGAGUGAUGAAGGCCUUAGGGUUGUAAAGCUCUUUUACCAGGGAUGAUAAUGACAGUACCUGGAGAAUAAGCUCCGGCUAACUCCGUGCCAGCAGCCGCGGUAAUACGGAGGGAGCUAGCGUUGUUCGGAAUUACUGGGCGUAAAGCGUACGUAGGCGGUUAUUCAAGUCAGAGGUGAAAGCCCGGGGCUCAACCCCGGAACGGCCUUUGAAACUAGAUAGCUAGAAUCUUGGAGAGGUUAGUGGAAUUCCGAGUGUAGAGGUGAAAUUCGUAGAUAUUCGGAAGAACACCAGUGGCGAAGGCGACUAACUGGACAAGUAUUGACGCUGAGGUACGAAAGCGUGGGGAGCAAACAGGAUUAGAUACCCUGGUAGUCCACGCCGUAAACGAUGAUAACUAGCUGUUCGGGCACUUGGUGCUUGAGUGGCGCAGCUAACGCAUUAAGUUAUCCGCCUGGGGAGUACGGUCGCAAGAUUAAAACUCAAAGGAAUUGACGG
This 561-nucleotide ribosomal RNA is filed under the name uncultured bacterium. RNAcentral's name for it is "bacterial SSU rRNA". It matches the Rfam family "Bacterial small subunit ribosomal RNA", at positions 338 to 916 of the family's 1533-position model. The record is from RNAcentral.